AUUGAACGCUGGCGGCAGGCCUAACACAUGCAAGUCGAGCGAGCGGCGGACGGGUGAGUAAUGUAUGGGGAACUGCCCGAUAGAGGGGGAUAACUACUGGAAACGGUGGCUAAUACCGCAUACUAUCGGAUGAACCCAGAUGGGAUUAGCUAGUAGGUGGGGUAAAGGCGCACUUGGGCGAAGAGCCCUCGCUGGUCUGAGAGGAUGAUCAGGCACCCUGGGACUGGGCAACGGCCCAGACUCCUACGGGAGGCAGCAGUGGGGAAUAUUGCACAAUGGGUGCAAGCUUGAUGCAGCCAUGCCGCGUGUAUGAAGAAGGCCUUAGGGUUGUAAAGUACUUUCAGCGAGGAGGCGUUACCCGCAGAAGAAGCACCGGCUAACUCCGUGCCAGCAGCCGCGGUAAUUC
This 406-nucleotide ribosomal RNA is filed under the name uncultured bacterium. Its description in RNAcentral is "partial 16S ribosomal RNA". It matches the Rfam family "Bacterial small subunit ribosomal RNA", at positions 30 to 526 of the family's 1533-position model. The record is from RNAcentral.